CCUACGGGUGGCAGCAGUGAGGAAUAUUGGUCAAUGGCCGGGAGUCUGAACCAGCCAAGUCGCGUGAGGGAAGACGGCCCUACGGGUUGUAAACCUCUUUUGUCAGGGAGCCAAGUGCAGUUCGGGACCUGCUGUGAGAGUACCUGAAGAAACAGCAUCGGCUAACUCCGUGCCAGCAGCCGCGGUAAUACGGGGGAUUCGAGCGUUAGCCGGAUUUAUUGGGUUUAAAGGGUGCGCAGUCGGAGGCACAAGUCAGCGGUAAAAUCGCGGGGUUCAACCCCGCUGCGCCGUUGAAACUGUGUGCCUUGAGUGCGCGAAGGGUAGGCGGAAUGCGUGGUGUAGCGGUGAAAUGCAUAGAGAUCACGCAGAACUCCGAUCGCGAAGGCAGCCUACCGGCGCGCAACUGACGCUCAUGCACGAAAGCGUGGGUAUCGAACAGGAUUAGAUACCCCAGUAGUC
This 459-nucleotide ribosomal RNA is filed under the name uncultured bacterium. RNAcentral describes it as "partial 16S ribosomal RNA". It matches the Rfam family "Bacterial small subunit ribosomal RNA", at positions 338 to 795 of the family's 1533-position model. The record is from RNAcentral.